Molecule: ribosomal RNA, 497 nt
Filed under: uncultured bacterium
Lineage: Bacteria
Description: partial 16S ribosomal RNA
Rfam family: Bacterial small subunit ribosomal RNA
Source: RNAcentral
GAUGAACGCUGGCGGCGUGCCUAAUACAUGCAAGUCGAGCGAACGGACGAGAAGCUUGCUUCUCUGAUGUUAGCGGCGGACGGGUGAGUAACACGUGGAUAACCUACCUAUAAGACUGGGAUAACUUCGGGAAACCGGAGCUAAUACCGGAUAAUAUUUUGAACCGCAUGGUUCAAAAGUGAAAGACGGUCUUACUGUCACUUAUAGAUGGAUCCGCGCUGCAUUAGCUAGUUGGUAAGGUAACGGCUUACCAAGGCAACGAUGCAUAGCCGACCUGAGAGGGUGAUCGGCCACACUGGAACUGAGACACGGUCCAGACUCCUACGGGAGGCAGCAGUAGGGAAUCUUCCGCAAUGGGCGAAAGCCUGACGGAGCAACGCCGCGUGAGUGAUGAAGGUCUUCGGAUCGUAAAACUCUGUUAUUAGGGAAGAACAUAUGUGUAAGUAACUGUGCACAUCUUGACGGUACCUAAUCAGAAAGCCACGGCUAACUACGUG